RNAcentral lists this ribosomal RNA (197 nucleotides) under Clostridia bacterium. RNAcentral's name for it is "partial 16S ribosomal RNA". It matches the Rfam family "Bacterial small subunit ribosomal RNA", at positions 1 to 179 of the family's 1533-position model. Lineage: Bacteria; Bacillati; Bacillota; Clostridia. The record is from RNAcentral.
UUAUUGAGAGUUUGAUCCUGGCUCAGGACGAACGCUGGCGGCGUGCCUAACACAUGCAAGUCGAACGAAGCUCCCCGAUACAAGGCUUCGGCCAAGUUGAAGGGAUGACUUAGUGGCGGACGGGUGAGUAACGCGUGAGGAACCUGCCUUUCAGUGGGGGACAACAGUUGGAAACGACUGCUAAUACCGCAUAAUGU